This 1746-nucleotide long non-coding RNA is filed under the name Erythranthe guttata (spotted monkey flower). RNAcentral's name for it is "long non-coding RNA (EGUT_LNC001861)". Lineage: Eukaryota; Viridiplantae; Streptophyta; Magnoliopsida; Lamiales; Phrymaceae. The record is from RNAcentral.
CCAUCGUCGUUGUCAUGCCCAUAUCCGUCCAAUCUGUGUUUAUUUCUUCAUUCUGAGAAUAUAAAUCACAGUUAGGAAGUGAAUCUUCCUCAUCCUCGUCAUCGAUGCCUUCCUCUUGCAAUGGUAGGAUAGGUGAUAUGAACCCCGUAGAACUCAUUACGAGACCCAAUACCUUAUGCGGAAGCAAGUUCGAAGACAUCCAAAAACAAAGAAUCAAUGUUGGCGGAAGCAAGGAAUAAUGACCCCAUAGCUAUAAAGAGCUAGAAACCAAUAUUAUCAAGGUGAAAUAUAAUAUUGACCCCGUAGUUAUAAAGAACCAGAAACCAAUAUUAUGGCGCUAAGAAAAUUACAAGAAUCCACUUGUAAAAUCCCGAAAUUUGCUGUAGAACAGCGAAGGAGAAUUAACUCUCAAUAUACUCAAAUAUUCAUUCAAAUCCGUUCAUCAAAAUAGGCCGAAUUGGCAACCUAUUUAUAAGAUUUAAAAAAACUCAUUUUUCACAAGAAAAAGGACUCUUACCUAAACUAUAAUAACAAAACCUAUAAAUAAGAAAAUCCUAACGACAAAGAACUCUAAAAUAAUAAAAAAAAACAUAAUAGAAACAUAAUAAAUCCUAACAUAAAAACGUGCAUAAUUAAAUUUAAUAACUUGAACAUCAAGUCGACUUCUUGAUCACCCUUGUAAACUCGCGUAGUCAUUUGGCUGUGCACGUGCAGGAACUUCAAGCUCGAUUUCGACAUUGUUCCACUUUGAAUCUCUCCCACUCUAACCAUGAAAGUUGUAGCACUUUCAGUUAGGGUUCCUCAUAAAUUUGAAUCACCUUACUUGGACGUCAUGUGAGAGAGUUAUAAGCUGAAUCGUAAACUGUGCCAGAAUCAUACGGGAAUUUCGAGAUGCAUGAAAUUCGACUUGUCCAACGAAUUUCAUUUUUCUUUUCUUCCAAUUCCAAACCAUUAACUCUUCAACAGUCUCAUUAAAACCUUUAUUCUCCAAGGAUAACUCGAAUAUCCUCUCCAAACUCGUACGCUUGCGCUUUUUCCAAUUCUUCAUCUUUGAGCUUGUGUGGAUCGUAUCAUACUCCCCCUCUUUAAAAGGGAUUCGUCCUCGAAUCCGGAGAUAUAAAAAGGAGCAUAUAGAAACCAUCUUUCACGACAUCUUCAAACAAUUGUAGCUCAUAUGGUCUAGAAUACUCCAAAGUUGAUACACUCAACAUUCCCACUGAAGUAUAGCUAGUCGCAUUGGUACAACCAACUCCAUCAAUCAUCAAACUCAAAGAUACACCUUCAUGGCGCUGAGUACGAGCAAGAUAAUCUUCGUGUACUGCAUCAACAUCUUCAUCAGCAUGCGCAAUUGGAGUUUGCACUCCGGUUAGCUCGGCAUUAACUUCGAUGCAUGGCUGGAUCAUAUCAAUAGGUGAUAACCCACGAACGUCUCCAAAAUUUAUUGCCGCUGCCCUUUUUUCAUCAAAUACUUUGACAUACGUUUCGUAGUAUGGGAAUCCGCAGAUCCUAUAGGCGUUUUGUAAUGUAGUCUCUUGUGCAAUUUAUAUGAAUCAAAUGUUUAUGUGCCGUUAAAUAGUAAUAUUAUAAGAGCUAUAUUUAAUAUACCGGUUGAGCCAAAUUUGAAACGUAGGUAGCAUCAAUUGUGACUUUAUUAUUAGCAUUGUUGUACGAGAUCCCUGGUAAGUUGAUGUACUCCUUGAAUUCUUGAAAUCGUUCGCUUAAAAGUACGAAUUGACUUUUCACAGU